AUGGAAGCUGAAGCAUUAAUGAUGGGCCUGAAGUUAGCAGAAAAUUGGACAUCCACUCCCAUGCGGUGGAGAGAUUCAAUGAAAAAUAUUCAAGGCGUGAAGAACCAGUCGGAGUACCGCACUUUAGAGGCAGUUGUCACUUAUGAUUGCCGGAAUUUGAUGGCAAGCUUUGGAAGGGCGAGGAUGAUGCACCGGGGGCGAGAAGCAGAUUCACAUGAACACUUGGUCGAUUUUGUUUUAUUGACAGGCCUGAGAGGUCAAGGGGAACCACCCUCUUAUUUCCCGGUUCCAGUUCUUGUAAAGGAUAUGAUAAUCAUUUAA
Molecule: ribosomal RNA, 321 nt
Filed under: Triticum aestivum (bread wheat)
Lineage: Eukaryota; Viridiplantae; Streptophyta; Magnoliopsida; Poales; Poaceae
Description: partial small subunit ribosomal RNA
Source: RNAcentral